This 1766-nucleotide long non-coding RNA is filed under the name Citrus x clementina. Its description in RNAcentral is "Citrus clementina (C. clementina) long non-coding RNA (CCLE_LNC002133)". The record is from RNAcentral. Lineage: Eukaryota; Viridiplantae; Streptophyta; Magnoliopsida; Sapindales; Rutaceae.
UGUGCGCUAGCUGCGGCGGCUGAUCUUCGUCUCCGGUAACGAUCAACGGCGGCACAAGCACAUGUGAUCUGUGCGCUAGCUCAAGCUUGGCCGAUCUGGUGCUUGCUCGAUUACUCUUCCUCUAUUCACUCAGAGUUAAUUUUUUUAUUUUAUGAAAUACUUGUUGGAUUGUAGUUUCUACUGAUUUGUUUUUUGGUGGAAUAUUUGAGCUAUUUGUUGAUAGGUUUAUAUUUAGGAGUUAUAUUGAAGAGUUUGGUGUUUAAUAUUAAGAACUAAGUAAUAGGUAAUGUUGAAAGAGAACACAUGUUUAGGUGAUAUAUCAGUAAAAAUUGUAGCUUAAUCAGUUGAAAUUGUCUACUUGCUUCUAAAGUUUUUUUUUUUUUUUUUUUUUUUUUUUUUUUUCUGUAACUAGUUACACUUUUUUGUUUGGCAAAGCCCAAAAUGAAUAGGAAAUCAUGGACGCAGGUAAUGUUUAUUUCGUAUAAUUUUUUUCUUUAUUUGUUGUUUGAUUGUAAUAGUGAAUAGUGAUUUUUGAAAUCGGGUGGCUUGUUUGCAGGAAACUGGGUUAAGCUGUUGAAACAUUUUGAGAAAUAUAAUAAAUUUAAAUUUAUUAGAAAUAUAAUAAAUAAAUUUAAAUUUAUUUAUUUGUGGCAGGUUGUGACCUAUUUUGAAGAGCAACAGGUCACUCUGCAUAUAAGUCUUUGAAUUUAAAGUGUAGUAAGAAAAAAAUAUUUCUCCUGGAUACUUAAAGUUAUCUUGUUAUAUGUUCGGGAAAAGUAUAUAUUCAAAAGUUAUGAUAUUUAGAAUUCUUUUGCAAGUUUCAUUAUUGCAUAGAGUCCUAUAUAUUGUUGAGAUAUAAUUAGUAAUCUAGUAAAUUGAGCAAGAAGUUUAAACUGAAGAAAAGUUGAGAAAGCUUCUGAUUUUUCAUUCAAAAAAUAAAUCCACAUCAUCCUUGUAUAGUCAUCAACAAAAAGAAUGAAAUAUCUCCUGUUAUUGAGAGAGAGAGUCCUUGUAGGACCACAAAUAUCAGCAUGCACCAACUCCAACGGAGCUUUGGCUCUCCAUGAAUUUUUAGGAAAUGGAAGUCUAUGCAUUUUUCCAUAUAUACAGCCCUCGCAAACUUUUUCAUAUCUUCCAACAUCAGGUAAGCCAAUCACCAUGUUCUUUUGCUUGAGUUUACUAGAUUACUAAUUAUAUCUCAACAUAUAUAUUACACAAUUCUGGAAAUAGUUUGAUCUAUUUUUCUAUUAGUCUCAAUAGAUUCUUAUUCACCCUGCAAUUUCCAUUGCUGAUUUUGUCGUUCUAUUAGUUGCUUGUUUUAAAUUAUUUUCAUUUUCAAUGAAUUUUGGUCUUGGUUGUGCAGGAAUUGGCAUUGUGAUAAUUUGAGGUUUAUUGCUAACGCUAUCAUGGAUUGACGAAUUGGAUUUGGUUAUGAACUGAGUUAGCCAUCGGUUAUUAGCAGUUUCUGAACAAGGAGCAAGAAGAUACCAGUGAGGACCUGGAUUUCAGAAGCAAUUCUUUUAUUUUGCUUUUAUUUUGAAUCAUUAGCAUUUUCUUUUUCUCGUUUGGUUUCAGAUAUUGGUGGCAUUGGGUAGUGGGUUUGUUUCUCGAAUCAUGAUGAUGCCAAUGUGAUUGCAAACAGCAGAGUCUAAAAUUUAUACGACCUUGUGAUUUGUCCUAUAUUUUUUUACUAAUGUUUGCUUAAUUUUUUUUCCUUUUUGUUCUUUUUUGAGUGAUCUCCAUAAUUAAUCAAGAACCAAAAUAUC